UUGCGGGCCUCCACCCAGACCGUGACCUGCACGUCGUCCAGCACCCCCGUCUGCCCGUACACCAGCGUGUACAGGCUCGCCGCCCGCACCGCCACGUACGGCGCGCGGGGAUGCAGCAGCACCACCACCACAAGGACGGCCACGGCGCCCAGCAGCACCACGACCGCCAGCACCAUGAACAGUACCACCACCGCCCACUCCACCGCGCCCGACCGGUGCCUCCUAAAGCUGUACCACCGCGGACGCUGA
Molecule: unclassified non-coding RNA, 249 nt
Filed under: Zea mays
Lineage: Eukaryota; Viridiplantae; Streptophyta; Magnoliopsida; Poales; Poaceae
Description: misc RNA Zm00001eb373870
Source: RNAcentral